GAUGAACGCUGGCGGCGUGCCUAAUACAUGCAAGUCGAGCGAACAGACGAGGAGCUUUCUCCUCUGACGUUAGCGGCGGACGGGUGAGUAACACGUGGAUAACCUACCUAUAAGACUGGGAUAACUUCGGGAAACCGGAGCUAAUACCGGAUAAUAUAUUGAACCGCAUGGUUCAAUAGUGAAAGACGGUUUUGCUGUCACUUAUAGAUGGAUCCGCGCCGCAUUAGCUAGUUGGUAAGGUAACGGCUUACCAAGGCAACGAUGCGUAGCCGACCUGAGAGGGUGAUCGGCCACACUGGAACUGAGACACGGUCCAGACUCCUACGGGAGGCAGCAGUAGGGAAUCUUCCGCAAUGGGCGAAAGCCUGACGGAGCAACGCCGCGUGAGUGAUGAAGGUCUUCGGAUCGUAAAACUCUGUUAUUAGGGAAGAACAAAUGUGUAAGUAACUAUGCACGUCUUGACGGUACCUAAUCAGAAAGCAACGGCUAACUACGU
Molecule: ribosomal RNA, 496 nt
Filed under: uncultured bacterium
Lineage: Bacteria
Description: partial 16S ribosomal RNA
Rfam family: Bacterial small subunit ribosomal RNA
Source: RNAcentral